RNAcentral lists this small nuclear RNA (107 nucleotides) under Cercocebus atys (sooty mangabey). Lineage: Eukaryota; Metazoa; Chordata; Mammalia; Primates; Cercopithecidae. The record is from RNAcentral.
GUGCUUGCUUUAGCAGCACAUAUACUAAAACUGAAAUGAUACAGAGAAGAUUAGCAUGGCCCCUGCGCAAGGAUUACAUGCAAAUUUGUGAAGUGUUCUGUAUUUCU